GUGUUGUAUGAAAGGAGAGGUUAGUACUCCCCUUGACCAGGAUGGAAGCGGCCCUUGGGCCUGAUAACAUGCAUACUGUUAAGGGAUUGUCACCCACUUCCUGGCUUCUAACCACCAUUUUUG
This is a small nuclear RNA of Dipodomys ordii (Ord's kangaroo rat), 123 nucleotides long. The record is from Ensembl. Lineage: Eukaryota; Metazoa; Chordata; Mammalia; Rodentia; Heteromyidae.